CUGAGUUGAAUAAAGAAGAUAUAAAACGGCAGAAGCAAACUGCAAUUUAUAUAAUUAUAUAUACACCCACAGAAAGUCGAGGCAAGGAGAAUUGGACUACAAAAGUUGGUGGGUGUUGAGGAUAUAUCCACAAACAUACACAGACAGAUUUUUGACGAUAAAAGGUUGUUGUUGCUGGAAAAAAUACAAAGGCGGCUGCUGUUGAAUAAAUAUCCAUAUACAUACGAGUUGCAACAGGAAUUGAGAGACAUACAUUCAUGAAAAAGGUGGCUGAACACAUAUAUAUACAUGCAACUGAAGGCCAGAAAUUGAAGACAAAAGGCAGCCAAGGAAUACAUAUAAAUACACGCGGAAGUAAAAGCGGACUGAAGGAAUUUGGAUAUUAAUCACGUUUGCUCCAUUUGUGGUGAUAUCUUCUAUCUUCUAUCUUUUUUUUUUGUUUAAUUCCGUCGUUAUGCUAGACUAAAUUAUUUUGUGCUAGGAUUUACGAUGAACCUUGUAUUAUGAAUCUUUAAUCUUGAAUUUUAUUUAUUUUGACGUUAAAACAUGUUUUUAAUUAUUGAAUAAUUGGCAUAGAUUUUAUUUUCUCUACAAUUAUAUGCGGAG
RNAcentral lists this long non-coding RNA (606 nucleotides) under Olea europaea subsp. europaea. Lineage: Eukaryota; Viridiplantae; Streptophyta; Magnoliopsida; Lamiales; Oleaceae. The record is from RNAcentral.